This 367-nucleotide long non-coding RNA is filed under the name Mytilus galloprovincialis (Mediterranean mussel). Lineage: Eukaryota; Metazoa; Mollusca; Bivalvia; Mytilida; Mytilidae. The record is from RNAcentral.
UGUUUUAAGUAGUUAUUAAACUAAGUGUAACUCGGCUCGGAAUGUCAGUGACCGAAUUCCGUAAAUAUUAAGUGUCACCUUACAAUAAAGAAUUUACUACAUUAUAGAAUAAUUGCUAGCUAUCAUUCAUUGUCGGACAUAUUCGUAGUAUUGUUUGUUUAUCAGUAUUAUUUCUGUAAACACCUUUUAGCCAGGAAUUUCAUAUCAUAAGAAUUGUAGAGACACACCAGUGAGCAUUCUUAAAAUUAAUUGGAGUCCUUUAUAGAGGAUGUCUUCAAGUAAGUUUUUAUUUUUUUGGGAACUUCUAGAAAACUGACAUCUAUUUGCCAAUAACUGACAGACGAAAAUCGUUGAAUAAUUAGAGAGA